Molecule: ribosomal RNA, 407 nt
Filed under: uncultured bacterium
Lineage: Bacteria
Description: partial 16S ribosomal RNA
Rfam family: Bacterial small subunit ribosomal RNA
Source: RNAcentral
AUUGAACGCUGGCGGCAGGCCUAACACAUGCAAGUCGGGCGGAGCGGCGGACGGGUGAGUAAUGACUAGGAAUCUGCAUGGUAGUGGGGGAUAACGUCCGGAAACGGGCGCUAAUACCGCAUACUAUCAGAUGAGCCUAUGUCGGAGUAGCUGGGGGGUGGGGUAAAGGCCUACCAAGGCGACGAUCCGUAACUGGUCUGAGAGGAUGAUCAGUCACACUGGAACUGCGACACGGCACAGACUCCUACGUGAGGCAGCAGUGGGGAAUAUUGGCCAAUGGGCGAAAGCCUGAUCCAGCCAUGCCGCGUGUGUGAAGAAGGUCUUCGGAUUGUAAAGCACUUUAAGUUGGGAGGCGUUACCAACAGAAUAAGCACCGGCUAACUUCGUGCCAGCAGCCGCGGUAAUUC